This 452-nucleotide ribosomal RNA is filed under the name uncultured bacterium. RNAcentral's name for it is "bacterial SSU rRNA". It matches the Rfam family "Bacterial small subunit ribosomal RNA", at positions 340 to 786 of the family's 1533-position model. The record is from RNAcentral.
UACGGAAGGCAGCAGUGGGGAAUAUUGCACAAUGGGCGCAAGCCUGAUGCAGCCAUGCCGCGUGUAUGAAGAAGGCCUUCGGGCUGUAAAGUACUUUCAGUCGUGAGGAAGGUGUUAAGGUUAAUAACCUUAGCAAUUGACGUUAGCGACAGAAGAAGCACCGGCUAACUCCGUGCCAGCAGCCGCGGUAAUACGGAGGGUGCGAGCGUUAAUCGGAAUUACUGGGCGUAAGGGCACGCAGGCGGUUAAUUAAGUUGGAUGUGAAAUCCCCGGGCUUAACCUGGGAAUGGCAUUCAAGACUGGUUAGCUAGAGUCUUGUAGAGGGGGUAGAAUUCCAUGUGUAGCGGUGAAAUGCGUAGAGAUGUGGAGGAAUACCGGUGGCGAAGGCGGCCCCUGGGACAAAGACUGACGCUCAUGUGCGAAAGCGUGGGGAGCAAACAGGAUUAGAUACC